Molecule: ribosomal RNA, 1502 nt
Filed under: uncultured compost bacterium
Lineage: Bacteria
Description: bacterial SSU rRNA
Rfam family: Bacterial small subunit ribosomal RNA
Source: RNAcentral
UAAGACAUGCAAGUCGAGCGGGGCUUUGGGGCUUCGGCCCCGGAGCCCAGCGGCGGACGGGUGAGUAACACGUGGAUAACCUGCCCUCUGCUCUGGGAUAACAGGCCGAAAGGCCUGCUAAUACCCGGAUAAGCUCACGGCCCCGCAUGGGGCAGGGAGAAAAGGCGCUGGAGUCAGUGGCGCUGGCAGAGGAGGGGUCCGCGGCCCAUUAGCUAGUUGGCGGGGUAACGGCCCACCAAGGCGACGAUGGGUAGCCGGCCUGAGAGGGCGGCCGGCCACACUGGGACUGAGACACGGCCCAGACUCCUACGGGAGGCAGCAGUCGGGAAUCUUGCACAAUGGGCGAAAGCCUGAUGCAGCGACGCCGCGUGAGCGAAGAAGGCCUUCGGGUUGUAAAGCUCUGUUGCCUGCGAAGAAGGGCCCUGUCAGGAAAUGGGCAGGGUUUGACGGUAGCAGGCGAGGAAGCCCCGGCAAACUACGUGCCAGCAGCCGCGGUAAUACGUAGGGGGCGAGCGUUGUCCGGAAUUACUGGGCGUAAAGGGCGUGUAGGCGGCCUGUUAAGUCAGGGGUGAAAGGCCGGGGCUCAAUCCCGGGGGUGCCCUUGAAACUGGCGGGCUUGAGUGCUCUAGAGGGCAGCGGAAUUCCCGGUGUAGCGGUGAAAUGCGUAGAGAUCGGGAGGAACACCAGUGGCGAAGGCGGCUGCCUGGGGAGUCACUGACGCUGAGGCGCGAAAGCUGGGGGAGCAAACAGGAUUAGAUACCCUGGUAGUCCCAGCCGUAAACGAUGAGUGCUAUGUGUGAGGGGUAUCGACCCUCCUCGUGCAGCAGCUAACGCAUUAAGCACUCCGCCUGGGGAGUACGGCCGCAAGGCUGAAACUCAAAGGAAUUGACGGGGGCCCGCACAAGCAGCGGAGCAUGUGGUUUAAUUCGAAGCAACGCGUAGAACCUUACCAGGGCUUGACAUGUGCGGAACCCUGCCGAAAGGCGGGGGUGCCACUCUUCGGGGUGGAGCCGCAACACAGGUGGUGCAUGGUUGUCGUCAGCUCGUGUCGUGAGAUGUUGGGUUAAGUCCCGCAACGAGCGCAACCCUCGUCGCAUGUUGCCAGCGGGUAAGGCCGGGCACUCAUGCGAGACUGCCGGUGACAAACCGGAGGAAGGUGGGGAUGUCGUCAAAUCAUCAUGCCCCUUAUGCCCUGGGCUACACACGUGCUACAAUGGCCGCUACAGAGCGUACCGAACCCGUGAGGGGGAGGCAAUCGCGAAAGGCGGUCCCAGUUCGGAUCGCAGGCUGCAACUCGCCUGCGUGAAGCCGGAGUUGCUAGUAAUCGCGGAUCAACAUGCCGCGGUGAAUACGUUCCCGGGCCUUGUACACACCGCCCGUCACACCAUGGGAGCUGGCAACACCCGAAGUCGGUGAGCUAACCCUGGAAACAGGGAGGCAGCCGCCGAAGGUGGGGCCGGUGACUGGGGGUGAAGUCGUAACAAGGUAGCCGUAUCGGAAGG